CCUACGGGUGGCAGCAGUGAGGAAUAUUGGUCAAUGGACGAGAGUCUGAACCAGCCAAGCAGCGUGAAGGAUGACUGCCCUAUGGGUUGUAAACUUCUUUUAUAUGGGAAUAAAAUGUUCCACGUGUGGGAUUUUGUAUGUACCAUAUGAAGAAGGAUCGGCUAACUCCGUGCCAGCAGCCGCGGUAAUACGGAGGUUCCAAGCGUUAUCCGGAUUUAUUGGGGUUAAAGGGAGCGUAGGUGGAUUGUUAAGUCAGUUGUGAAAGUUUGCGGCUCAACCGUAAAAUUGCAGUUGAAACUGGCAGUCUUGAGUACAGUAGAGGUGGGCGGAAUUCGUAGUGUAGCGGUGAAAUGCUUAGAUAUCACGAAGAACACCAGUUGCGAAGGCAGCUCACUGGACUGCAACUGACACUGAGGCGCGAAAGUGUGGGGAUCAAACAGGAUUAGAUACCCGUGUAGUC
This 460-nucleotide ribosomal RNA is filed under the name uncultured bacterium. Its description in RNAcentral is "partial 16S ribosomal RNA". It matches the Rfam family "Bacterial small subunit ribosomal RNA", at positions 338 to 795 of the family's 1533-position model. The record is from RNAcentral.